GAUGAACGCUGGCGGCGUGCCUAAUACAUGCAAGUAGAACGCUGAAGGAGGAGCUUGCUCUUCUGGAUGAGUUGCGAACGGGUGAGUAACGCGUAGGUAACCUGCCUGGUAGCGGGGGAUAACUAUUGGAAACGAUAGCUAAUACCGCAUGACAACAGUUAUUGCAUGAUAACUGUUUAAAAGGGGCAACUGCUCCACUACAAGAUGGACCUGCGUUGUAUUAGCUAGUUGGUGAGGUAACGGCUCACCAAGGCGACGAUACAUAGCCGACCUGAGAGGGUGAUCGGCCACACUGGGACGGAGACACGGCCCAGACUCCUACGGGAGGCAGCAGUAGGGAAUCUUCGGCAAUGGACGGAAGUCUGACCGAGCAACGCCGCGUGAGUGAAGAAGGGUUUCGGAUCGUAAAGCUCUGUUGUAAGAGAAGAACGAGUGUGAGAGUGGAAAGUUCACACUGUGACGGUAUCUUACCAGAAAGGGACGGCUAACUACGUG
RNAcentral lists this ribosomal RNA (495 nucleotides) under uncultured bacterium. RNAcentral's name for it is "partial 16S ribosomal RNA". It matches the Rfam family "Bacterial small subunit ribosomal RNA", at positions 28 to 507 of the family's 1533-position model. The record is from RNAcentral.